This 73-nucleotide transfer RNA is filed under the name Pangasianodon hypophthalmus (striped catfish). It matches the Rfam family "tRNA". Rfam says of the family: Transfer RNA (tRNA) molecules are approximately 80 nucleotides in length. Lineage: Eukaryota; Metazoa; Chordata; Actinopteri; Siluriformes; Pangasiidae. The record is from Rfam by way of RNAcentral.
UCCCUAGUGGUCUAGUGGGUAAGGAUCCAGCACUCUCAUUGCUGUGGCCCAGGUUUAAUUCCCAGCCAGGGAA